RNAcentral lists this ribosomal RNA (674 nucleotides) under Chryseobacterium sp. MYb41. RNAcentral's name for it is "bacterial SSU rRNA". It matches the Rfam family "Bacterial small subunit ribosomal RNA", at positions 68 to 742 of the family's 1533-position model. Lineage: Bacteria; Pseudomonadati; Bacteroidota; Flavobacteriia; Flavobacteriales; Weeksellaceae. The record is from RNAcentral.
GGUAGAGAUCUUUCGGGAUCUUGAGAGCGGCGUACGGGUGCGGAACACGUGUGCAACCUGCCUUUAUCUGGGGGAUAGCCUUUCGAAAGGAAGAUUAAUACCCCAUAACAUUUUGAAUGGCAUCAUUUAAAAUUGAAAACUCCGGUGGAUAGAGAUGGGCACGCGCAAGAUUAGAUAGUUGGUGAGGUAACGGCUCACCAAGUCUGCGAUCUUUAGGGGGCCUGAGAGGGUGAUCCCCCACACUGGUACUGAGACACGGACCAGACUCCUACGGGAGGCAGCAGUGAGGAAUAUUGGACAAUGGGUGAGAGCCUGAUCCAGCCAUCCCGCGUGAAGGACGACGGCCCUAUGGGUUGUAAACUUCUUUUGUAUAGGGAUAAACCUUUCCACGUGUGGGAAGCUGAAGGUACUAUACGAAUAAGCACCGGCUAACUCCGUGCCAGCAGCCGCGGUAAUACGGAGGGUGCAAGCGUUAUCCGGAUUUAUUGGGUUUAAAGGGUCCGUAGGCGGAUCUGUAAGUCAGUGGUGAAAUCUCACAGCUUAACUGUGAAACUGCCAUUGAUACUGCAGGUCUUGAGUGUUAUUGAAGUAGCUGGAAUAAGUAGUGUAGCGGUGAAAUGCAUAGAUAUUACUUAGAACACCAAUUGCGAAGGCAGGUUACUAAACAACAACUG